This 2162-nucleotide ribosomal RNA is filed under the name Limosilactobacillus mucosae. RNAcentral describes it as "bacterial LSU rRNA". It matches the Rfam family "Bacterial large subunit ribosomal RNA", at positions 1 to 2166 of the family's 2925-position model. The record is from RNAcentral. Lineage: Bacteria; Bacillati; Bacillota; Bacilli; Lactobacillales; Lactobacillaceae.
AGGUUAAGUUAUGAAGGGYGCAUGGUGAAUGCCUUGGUACUAGGAGCCGAUGAAGGACGGGACUAACACCGAUAUGCUUCGGGGAGCGGUAAGUACGCUUUGAUCCGGAGAUUUCCGAAUGGGGAAACCCAAUCAUCUUAGUCGAUGAUUGCCURAGCAGUGAAUACAUAGCUGUCAGGCGGUAGACGCAGUGAACUGAAACAUCUAAGUAGCUGCAGGAAGAGAAAGAAAAUUCGAUUCCCUGAGUAGCGGCGAGCGAAACGGGAAGAGCCCAAACCAACGAGCUUGCUUGUUGGGGUUGUAGGACUGAACAUUUGAGUUACCAAAGUGCGACGUAGUUGAAGUCGUUGGGAAGCGAYGCCAAAGAUGGUGAUAGCCCAGUAAACGAAACGUCACACUCUCAGUUCAGGAUCCUGAGUACGGCGGGACACGUGAAACCCCGUCGGAAUCCGCGAGGACCAUCUCGCAAGGCUAAAUACUYCCUAGUGACCGAUAGUGAACCAGUACCGUGAGGGAAAGGUGAAAAGCACCCCGGGAGGGGAGUGAAACAGUUCCUGAAACCAUGUGCCUACAAGCUGUCGGAGCACAUUUACGUGUGACGGCGUGCCUCUUGCAGAAUGAACCGGCGAGUCAUGAUUGCGUGCAAGGUUAAGGUGGAAAAACCGGAGCCGUAGCGAAAGCGAGUCUGAAAUGGGCRUACGAAGUACGCAGUUAUGUACCCGAAACCAGGUGACCUACCCAUGYCCAGGUUGAAGGUGCGGUAAAACGCACUGGAGGACCGAACCCGUAUCAGUUGAAAAUGGUUGGGAUGAGGUGUGGGUAGCGGUGAAAUUCCAAACGAACUUGGAGAUAGCUGGUUCUCUCCGAAAUCUCUUUAGGGGGAGCCUCGAGGUUUAGAAUCAUGGAGGUAGAGCACUGUUUGGACUAGGGGCCCGUCAUGGGUUACUGACUUCAGAUAAACUCCGAAUGCCAUUGAUUUUUACUCGGGAGUCACACGGUGAGUGAUAAGAUCCAUCGUGGAAAGGGGAACAGCCCAGAUCAUCAGCUAAGGUCCCUAAAUAUAUGCUAAGUGGAAAAGGAUGUGGAAUUGCACAGACAACUAGGAUGUUGGCUCAGAAGCAGCCAUCAUUUAAAGAGUGCGUAAUAGCUCACUAGUCGAGUGACUCUGCGCCGAAAAUGUACCGGGGCUAAGCAUAUUACCGAAGCUAUGGAUGCAUCCAUCAGGAUGCGUGGUAGGAGAGCGUUCCAAGGGCGAUGAAGUCAGACCGUAAGGCUGGUGGAGCGCUUGGAAGUGAGAAUGCCGGUAUGAGUAGCGAAAGACAGGUGAGAAUCCUGUCCACCGAAUGACUAAGGUUUCCUGGGGAAGGCUCGUCCUCCCAGGGUUAGUCGGGACCUAAGUCGAGGCCGAGAGGCGUAGACGAUGGACAACAGGCUGAUAUUCCUGUACCAGUUGAUUGUGCUUGAGUGAUGGAGUGACGCAGAAGGCUAAGCGAUCCGGACGAUUGGAAGUGUCCGGCCAAGCAGCAAGUCAGUUGAUGAGUCAAAUGCUUAUCAGCGRGUUGACAAGCUGUGAUGGGGAGCGAAAUUAUAGUAGCGAAGUCGUUGAUGUCACGCUGCCGAGAAAAGCUUCUAGCGAAUAAUCAACUGCCCGUACCGCAAACCGACACAGGUAGUCGAGGAGAGUAUCCUAAGGUGAGCGAGCGAACUCUCGUUAAGGAACUCGGCAAAAUGACCCCGUAACUUCGGGAGAAGGGGUGCUGAUCGCAAGAUCAGCCGCAGUGAAAAGGCCCAGGCGACUGUUUAUCAAAAACACAGGUUUCUGCAAAAUCGUAAGAUGAAGUAUAGGGGCUGACGCCUGCCCGGUGCUGGAAGGUUAAAAGGAAGAGUUAGCUUCGGYGAAGCCCUGAAUUGAAGCCCCAGUAAACGGCGGCCGUAACUAUAACGGUCCUAAGGUAGCGAAAUUCCUUGUCGGGUAAGUUCCGACCCGCACGAAAGGCGUAACGAUCUGGCACUGUCUCAACGAGAGACUCGGUGAAAUUGAAUUGCCUGUGAAGAUGCAGGCUACCCGCGACAGGACGGAAAGACCCCAUGGAGCUUUACUGUAGCUUGAUAUUGAGUGCUUGUACUGCUUGUACAGGAUAGGUAGGAGCCAUAGAAGCCAG